GCUACAACAAAUCGAUUCAAACAGAACAACAACAAAAAAAAAAUAACAAAAAAUCAAAUCAAAUAAAAUAGAAUUAGCAUUUCUUUUUUUUUUUCUUUAGUUUUUUUUUAGUUUUGCGCUUAUGAAUGAUUACACAACGCGUGGCCCAAUAAAUGGCGACAAAUGCGUUCACAUGCUUAAUUACAUGCACUCACUCCCACUCACACAGACAGACACCCCCUCCUCCACUCUCACUCCCUCUCUCUCUCUCGCUCUCUCUCACUCUCUUGCACUCACAAUAUUAACUGUUUGUUUUGAUCAGUUUUAUUGCACAUUUACUAGCACUGGACGGACACAAGGGGCCAACAGACGAAACCGAACUCGAGCGUCGUCUCUGCCACAGCUGCUGUUGCAGUCGACGUCACAGUCGCUGCUUUGCUUGCGUGUUUUUGUUGCCGCAGUUGGAGGCGCGUUGCACAUGUCCAAAGGGCUGAAGAUUUCAAUUCGAGGCUUGUUCUCCUUUUCUAGCGCACACAACACACAACACCAGCGUGCAGGCAGGCAGCCAGCCAGCCAGACAGACGCACUGUCUCCGCCUCUAGCGGGUACAUUUCAAUGUCAACUAAGGUUAAAAGUAAUACAGUUGGCGAGGGGAGUUUGCAUUGCACAUACACCGGACGCACGAACAGCUGCUGCAGUGUUGAAACGUUGCGGGCAUCAUUAACUUAGUUGGUAUUUAGCAAUAUUAAAUAGGCAAACAAAACCCUGUAUUUUGGACACAACAAUCACAAUACUACCGAAACAUCUACAAGUACCACAAAUAAAACAGCUAUCGAUAUCGAGUGCACAAGCACCGAUAUGCCGAUACAAUAACGCAA
Drosophila virilis is the source of this 857-nucleotide long non-coding RNA. RefSeq lists it as uncharacterized. The record is from RefSeq and is a predicted model, not a curated record. Lineage: Eukaryota; Metazoa; Arthropoda; Insecta; Diptera; Drosophilidae.